UAGGGAAUAUUAGAAAUGGACGAAAGUCUGAUCUAGCAACACCGCGUGUGCGAAGAAGGCCUUCGGGUUGUAAAGCACUUUUUGGAAGGAUUAGGAAGGAAUGUACUUCCAGAAUAAGUCUCGGCUAACUACGUGCCAGCAGCCGCGGUAACACGUAGGAGGCAAACGUUAUCCGGACUUACUGGGCGUAAAGCGCGUGUAGGUGGUUCUGUAAGUAGGGCGUGAAAGCUCCUGGCUCAACUGGGAGAGGCCGUUCUAAACUGCAGAGCUAGAGGAUGGUAGAGGGAGGUGGAAUUCCGGGUGCAGUGGUGAAAUGCGUAGAUAUCCGGAGGAACACCAGUGGCGAAAGCGGCCUCCUGGGCCAUUUCUGACGCUAAGACGCGAAAGCUAGGGUAGCAAACG
This 402-nucleotide ribosomal RNA is filed under the name uncultured prokaryote. Its description in RNAcentral is "bacterial SSU rRNA". It matches the Rfam family "Bacterial small subunit ribosomal RNA", at positions 355 to 774 of the family's 1533-position model. The record is from RNAcentral.